UUGCCAGACUCCUACGGGAGGCAGCAGUGGGGAAUAUUGCGCAAUGGGCGAAAGCCUGACGCAGCGACGCCGCGUGAGGGAUGAAGGUCUUCGGAUCGUAAACCUCUGUCAGCAGGGAAGAACGGUCACUGUGCUAAUCAGCAGUGAAUUGACGGUACCUGCAAAGGAAGCACCGGCUAACUCCGUGCCAGCAGCCGCGGUAAUACGGAGGGUGCGAGCGUUAUCCGGAUUUAUUGGGUUUAAAGGGUGCGUAGGCGGAUUUUUAAGUCAGCGGUAAAAUGUCCGGGCUCAACCCGGGCCGGCCGUUGAAACUGGGGAUCUUGAGUGGGCGAGAAGUAUGCGGAAUGCGUGGUGUAGCGGUGAAAUGCAUAGAUAUCACGCAGAACUCCGAUUGCGAAGGCAGCAUACCGGCGCCCGACUGACGCUGAGGCACGAAAGCGUGGGGAUCGAACAGGAUUAGAUACCCGGGUAG
Molecule: ribosomal RNA, 472 nt
Filed under: uncultured bacterium
Lineage: Bacteria
Description: bacterial SSU rRNA
Rfam family: Bacterial small subunit ribosomal RNA
Source: RNAcentral